CCCCCGCCUCCCCGGGCGCGAGAGGGCCAGCGUCCGGACGUCUGUAGGUGUAGGCGGGAGCGGAGGCUGCCGCUCGGGAGAAAAACGAAAUGGGAGGAGAGGGGUUUUCUGUGCUGGACGCUUUCGGAAGCCCAAAGACAGCAGGCCUGUAAUGAACGGGGUUUGUCGAGUCACCCAGGGCAGACCCAGGAACUAAGCGCACAGCUGUUGACUUACACGGCUGAACCUUCACAGUUCUUUACCUUCUUCCAGGAGUAGCAGAAAAUGAACAUAGCUCAGGUGAGUUCAGUUUUUAAUAGCUUGCUUGUGUUACAAGGGAUUUUAUAAGGGCUUACGUGUCUCUCCGUCAACAUGGAAGAGUAGAAAUAGAAAUGGAUCAGAUGCAUUCAGAGAAGACACAGAAAUACAGUUGAAGAGCAGAGCAAAGGUGGCAGGUGGGUACAUGCAGGUCCUCUGACAUUGCAGAUGUACUACGUUGGAGUUCCAGGUUUAUUUCUGAGGUUUGUGAUAGCCGUGGCAGGGUAUCAGGCGUGAUAUUUCUUUCAAGGUUAACGUUGGUGAGAAGGUAAAGCAAACUGAUUCCUCAUAGACUAUAAAGACAAUUGAAGGUGAAGAAUAUCUUUGUUGUUUUCAACUACGUGAUUUAGUUAACAGCUUCCAGUAGUAACCCUAAGAUAACAUAGGACGUUGCCUCCACUUGUGCUUCAGUAAAGGUAGAAGAGGUAACGCUGAAGUGAGCUCAGUCAGUACUGUUUUUCACAAACUCCAACACAGGGAUUGCAGGAGACAUUUUUCUGAUGGACCAACUGACUAUCCUUAAGAUUACUCUCCAUAAAUAUUUCGAGUACCCGUGAUUUUCAGGACAGUUUAAAACGGUCAGCCCAGCAGACAGUUUAAAAUUCUGUUCUCCUUCAAGUGUUUCAACACUUUCAGUCACGCUCUAAACCUUUUCAUGAGGCCUUGGUCUCUCUCCCCACUUACCUGUGAUCUCCAGUGACCAGAGACUCGAUUAUGAUCAAAUCCAUUGGGUCUUGCCUGAUCCUUUGCUUACUUGACUUUUCUGUAGCACUUGCCUCUACUUCUCACUCUGUCCUUCUGGAAAGUGUCUCUGUGAGUGUCUGUGACACCUUCCACUGGCUCUGUCCUUCUCCUGCUGAUAUCUUCAUGGAGUCGUCGUCUUUCCCUUGUCCUUGCACAUGGCUCAUCCCCAGUUUCCCUCUUUGGCCCUUUAAUCUCGUCUGUUGUCUUGGAAUGAUUUCAUUUUCUCUCAUUUUUUUCUUUAAACAGCUUUAUUGAGAUUCCGCUCACAUACCAUGCCAUUCACCCAUUUAAAAUGUA
This 1338-nucleotide long non-coding RNA is filed under the name Equus caballus (horse). RNAcentral's name for it is "lncRNA (ENSECAG00000047420.1)". Lineage: Eukaryota; Metazoa; Chordata; Mammalia; Perissodactyla; Equidae. The record is from RNAcentral.